RNAcentral lists this ribosomal RNA (508 nucleotides) under uncultured bacterium. Its description in RNAcentral is "partial 16S ribosomal RNA". It matches the Rfam family "Bacterial small subunit ribosomal RNA", at positions 28 to 507 of the family's 1533-position model. The record is from RNAcentral.
GACGAACGCUGGCGGCGUGCCUAAUACAUGCAAGUCGAACGCUUCUUUCCUCCCGAGUGCUUGCACUCAAUUGGAAAGAGGAGUGGCGGACGGGUGAGUAACACGUGGGUAACCUACCCAUCAGAGGGGGAUAACACUUGGAAACAGGUGCUAAUACCGCAUAACAGUUUAUGCCGCAUGGCAUAAGAGUGAAAGGCGCUCUCGGGUGUCGCUGAUGGAUGGACCCGCGGUGCAUUAGCUAGUUGGUGAGGUAACGGCUCACCAAGGCCACGAUGCAUAGCCGACCUGAGAGGGUGAUCGGCCACACUGGGACUGAGACACGGACCAGACUCCUACGGGAGGCAGCAGUAGGGAAUCUUCGGCAAUGGACGAAAGUCUGACCGAGCAACGCCGCGUGAGUGAAGAAGGUUUUCGGAUCGUAAAACUCUGUUGUUAGAGAAGAACAAGGACGUUAGUAACUGAACGUCCCCUGACGGUAUCUAACCAGAAAGCCACGGCUAACUACGUG